GAAGUAAAAAGUCGUAACAAGGUUUCCGUAGGUGAACCUGCGGAAGGAUCAUUACAGUAGUCAUCCGGGUUGCCGCAAGGCCUCCCGGGUAACCUACCACCCUUUGUUUAUUACACUUUGUUGCUUUGGCAGGCCUGCCCUCGGGCUGCUGGCUCCGGCCGGCGAGCGUCUGCCAGAGGACCUAAACUCUGUUUGUCUAUAAUGUCUGAGUACUAUAUAAUAGUUAAAACUUUCAACAACGGAUCUCUUGGUUCUGGCAUCGAUGAAGAACGCAGCGAAAUGCGAUAAGUAAUGUGAAUUGCAGAAUUCAGUGAAUCAUCGAAUCUUUGAACGCACAUUGCGCCCCCUGGUAUUCCGGGGGGCAUGCCUGUCCGAGCGUCAUUACAACCCUCAAGCUCAGCUUGGUGUUGGGCCCCGCCGCCCCGGCGGGCCCUAAAGUCAGUGGCGGUGCCGUCCGGCUCCGAGCGUAGUAAUUCUUCUCGCUCUGGAGGUCCGGUCGUGUGCUUGCCAGCAACCCCCAAUUUUUUUCAGGUUGACCUCGGAUCAGGUAGGGAUACCCGCUGAACUUAAGCAUAUCAAUAAGCGGAGGA
This 590-nucleotide ribosomal RNA is filed under the name Geomyces sp. LKF08-027. RNAcentral describes it as "eukaryotic LSU rRNA". The stretch from base 228 to 381 matches the Rfam family "5.8S ribosomal RNA". Lineage: Eukaryota; Fungi; Ascomycota; Leotiomycetes; Thelebolales; Pseudeurotiaceae. The record is from RNAcentral.